This 1334-nucleotide long non-coding RNA is filed under the name Capsicum annuum. Its description in RNAcentral is "long non-coding RNA (CANN_LNC010800)". The record is from RNAcentral. Lineage: Eukaryota; Viridiplantae; Streptophyta; Magnoliopsida; Solanales; Solanaceae.
ACCCCUCUAUUCAAUAUUUUCUCAUGAGAUUUUUCUUUUUUCUUUAAUAAGUAAUUUCAUCUGUUGCCAAAUGAAAUAAAGCAAAGUGACUAUAGUCAAUAUCAAAAAAAAAAAAAAUACAUUUGAAUGCUCUAAAAUGAUAAUUUUACAUUUAAUGGUGUAAUUUACAACCACACAAAUAUCUAUUUUAAACCACAAACUUUAAAAAUCUUUUUAUAUAUUUUAAACUUCGUAUCAUGUCAAACUACAUCAUAUAAGUUCAGACGAAGGGACAGGAGUACCAAUGACAUGCUAAUGGUCCUAAAUGGGCCUAUUUUCAUUAAAACAUGCUCAAAUUUAAUACAAAAUACAUGAAGGAUUGAUGUGCCAAAACUUAUUUAAUGUGUCAAAUGGAUACUAUUGCCAAGAACACAACAUUAUAAGUUAAGGUGUUAUGAAUCAGACAAUAUUAAACAAACCACAACUCAAAAGAAAAAUAAGAACACACAGAUUUACGUGGAAACCCUUGUGGACAGAUCACGGGCAGAGACAGAUAAAUUCACUAUAAUGGAAUGGAGUACAAUAAAAAGACGAUUUGUCUCAAUGACGUAUAUAUAUCAACCCGAAACAGUCCACUAAAUACACUUAUAUAUAUAAUACGUGCGUAUAAAUAAGUUCUAGCCCAAAAAUCACAAACAUGGAUUGCACCGCGAACUUGGGUCACAAACUGUAACAAUAGGUAACACUUUAUUUAAAUUUUUGUGACACUAAAUUCAUAAUCAAACUUAAUUAUUGCUUGAUAAACUCUUCUUCAAGCAAUUCUGCUGUGAGAGGUUUAGCAUCCUGAUACAGAUUUGUUUACAUAGAGGGUCACUAGAGCAUAAAACAGAAUUUCUGGGUAUUUUUAUGCAAAUUUUCAGACCUUGCACCCUUACAAUCAUUCACAACUUGUUAUAUAUAUGAUAGAAAAUAAAUUAAAGAUAUAUAAUCGAAAGAAAUAUUGCUUGUACAUUAUUUAAAGGAAGAUAUAUAUCAACAAGUUUUUUCAGGAUUAUGUUUUACAAAGUUAUCAAAUAUUGAAUAUAUAGAUAAUUUUAAAGCGUGAAUAAAUAUAUUGUUUCUCCAGAAACAAGUUUCAUCAAGAUUAAUUAGCUAGUAGAGGAUAAGUACAUAAAAGAGAAGAUUAUAUUAUUUGAGUAAUACGAAAGAUUAUAUUUUUUUGAGAUUUUAGAAAAUAAAAGAUGAAAUCAAAUCAUAGGCAACAAAGAGUGUCAUUGCCAAGACAAGAAAUGCCAUGAAGUUAAUGGAACGAGCCAUAGUCUCUUUGAAUGAGUAAAAAAAAUUGCAAAUAUUUG